This 473-nucleotide ribosomal RNA is filed under the name Gemella morbillorum. RNAcentral describes it as "bacterial SSU rRNA". It matches the Rfam family "Bacterial small subunit ribosomal RNA", at positions 28 to 481 of the family's 1533-position model. The record is from RNAcentral. Lineage: Bacteria; Bacillati; Bacillota; Bacilli; Caryophanales; Gemellaceae.
GACGAACGCUGGCGGCGUGCCUAAUACAUGCAAGUCGAGCGAAGUUUUUCUGGUGCUUGCACUAGAAAAACUUAGCGGCGAACGGGUGAGUAACACGUAAAGAACCUGCCUCAUAGACUGGGACAACUAUUGGAAACGAUAGCUAAUACCGGAUAACAGUAUUUCUCGCAUGAGAGAUAUUUAAAAGUUGGUUAUGCUAACACUAUGAGAUGGCUUUGCGGUGCAUUAGCUAGUUGGUGGGGUAAAGGCCCACCAAGGCGACGAUGCAUAGCCGACCUGAGAGGGUGAUCGGCCACACUGGGACUGAGACACGGCCCAGACUCCUACGGGAGGCAGCAGUAGGGAAUCUUCCGCAAUGGGCGAAAGCCUGACGGAGCAACGCCGCGUGAGUGAAGAAGGAUUUCGGUUCGUAAAGCUCUGUUGUUAGGGAAGAAUGGAUAUGUAGUAACUAUACAUGUAAGAGACGGUACCUA